RNAcentral lists this ribosomal RNA (497 nucleotides) under uncultured bacterium. Its description in RNAcentral is "partial 16S ribosomal RNA". It matches the Rfam family "Bacterial small subunit ribosomal RNA", at positions 28 to 507 of the family's 1533-position model. The record is from RNAcentral.
GACGAACGCUGGCGGCGUGCCUAAUACAUGCAAGUUGAGCGCUGAAGGUUGGUACUUGUACCGACUGGAUGAGCAGCGAACGGGUGAGUAACGCGUGGGGAAUCUGCCUUUGAGCGGGGGACAACAUUUGGAAAUGAAUGCUAAUACCGCAUAAAAACUUUAAACACAAGUUUUAAGUUUGAAAGAUGCAAUUGCAUCACUCAAAGAUGAUCCCGCGUUGUAUUAGCUAGUUGGUGAGGUAAAGGCUCACCAAGGCGAUGAUACAUAGCCGACCUGAGAGGGUGAUCGGCCACAUUGGGACUGAGACACGGCCCAAACUCCUACGGGAGGCAGCAGUAGGGAAUCUUCGGCAAUGGACGAAAGUCUGACCGAGCAACGCCGCGUGAGUGAAGAAGGUUUUCGGAUCGUAAAACUCUGUUGGUAGAGAAGAACGUUGGUGAGAGUGGAAAGCUCAUCAAGUGACGGUAACUACCCAGAAAGGGACGGCUAACUACGUG